Molecule: non-coding RNA, 103 nt
Organism: Acanthosepion pharaonis
Lineage: Eukaryota; Metazoa; Mollusca; Cephalopoda; Sepiida; Sepiidae
Source: the annotation of a GenBank genome assembly
UCACGUUGAAAUACAAGUUCUCAUACGACCACCGAAGUUAAGCAACGUUGAUCCUGGUCGGUAUUUCGAUGGGUGACCGCUUGGGAAUAGUAGAUGCUGUAAU